UACUCGAGGCUGAAGAAACUUGAAACUGAAUCGGUUCUCAAGUUGUUGUAAAGAGAUUGUGAGUGAAUUUCCCAGCCUGAAGAUGUUUGAUCUUUCUGCAGGAAAGAAAACAAAUGGAAAUAGGUUGCUUCAGGGACAAGAAAACAAGAAUUAAGUAAUACAUAAAGAUUUGCCUGAGGGAAAAGAUUAUUACAGAGCCGAGAGUUGUGGUUUGGAUUGAGUUUAUGACAGAGUAAUCUAGAGAUUCUUGAUGUUGUAAUGGAAAAGAACUUGCAUCCACCAUCAUUAACUGCUUCGAGAGAAAAAAAUGUCACAAGAAAAAUAAAUCCCGACGAAUAAGGAGCUAAAACACGAAUGUGGUGGAGGAACUCUAAUCUCUUGGCGGUGUCCCAUGUAAAGGAACGAUGGUGGUCCUGGUGGAUGAAUAUCUUUAUAGUCUGGUACAAUACAUGUUGGAUGAUGGGUCUUCUGCAUCGUCUACAAACGUUUCCACCAUCGUCUAUGUCUCCUUCGUCACUACACCAAAGUUGAUUACGUUUCUGCCAUUGAUGUCGUUAUCAUAUAUGUCACAGUUACAUUAUCAUCGGAAAUAUGCCUUGACCUAUCUUAAAAGAUAGAUUAAACAACAUAGAUCAUAAUUAUAUGUAAGUUUUUGUGAAAAAACAAUCUGAAGAAUCAGAUUCUAAUUUAAAAACAAAUAGAAAGCUUAGAAGGAAGAAGACAAAGAAGAAAGAAAGAAGAAUAUAAAAUAAUAUAAAAUUAAUAUUUUAUUGUUUAAUUGGAUUUUAGUUAGAUUUCAAUUAUUAGAAGAAAUGAAACGUGUAUUGGAGAAAGAGAAAAUGUCUGAGUAGAAUAAACUGUCUUACAGUGUUAUUAAAAACUCGAAAUUGUCUGUCUUACAGUGUUAUUAAAAACUCGAAAUUGUCUUACAGCGUAAUUCUUUCAUUGCUUAAUUGGUUAGCUCUUUCUUAUGGUUGGUGCCUCUUCUUGACUUCUCUUGUCGUAGACAGAUAAUAGUAUAAAAUAGGCACUUGCCACUUGCGCGUUAAAAUGUACUUUCACCUACCCGUUGGAUCUAUUCAGUACUUUUGUCUACCACCAACUCUAUCCGUGUGCCAUACCAAAACAAAAACCUAAACCUAAAAAGCUACACUGAAACCAAUCUUGAUUAUCAUACGGGAGAAAAACAUUCCAAAGAUUAAGUUGAUUUAUUUUGUAAAGCGUUGUCGCAAUUAGUUAACUAAGCAUCUUUUAUUUUGAGGCUGAGAGUAGUUGUUGCUUGUCAAUGAGUAGGUGUGGCCAAUCAUAUUAUAUAUUUAGGGAAAACAUAAUUAUACCAAAUCGUUGGCUAGACUUAGAAUUUACUUAAAUAACUAUCUUACACUACUUAUGUUUUAUUCUUCUUCGUAAUCAAUCUCUUCCCCACCACAUUAAUCAUGAUGUGGAUUAAAUUUCGAUUUGGAAAAUCCAAAUAUUUGGUUUUUGGUAGGCCAACUCUAGGUCAGAGCCAGCAGGUUACAUCAGAUAACAAAUUCUUGUUCUCGCUUUGGCCAUUAAGGAGCAUUUAUGCAUUUUCACAUUAGGAUAUUGAUGUUAUGUCCAUUUUACGACACAACUUUAUCAGUUUUAGAACAAACAAUAGCCAUACUUAUUUAACUUUUAAAAGAAAAUUUUGUAAACCCAUCAGUUCUAUGACCAACUACUAACACUAUUAUUCACCGUAUGAUGUACAACAUCAAUCAUCAAAUCUAGAUAAACCCAAGUAGCAGUUUUUGGGCUUGUACACUGUACAAUGUAAAUAAUCUAUUAUUCAAAUCAUCUAUCAUCAAUUCUAGGAACAAAACCUCAAACCCAUGAUAACUAUUACAACAACUUUAAAAUUCCUUGGCCCUUUCUCACAAAAAAAUAAACUUUAAAAUUCCGAUACUUAAAUAAGUUCCCUACAAUAUAAUCAUAAGUUAUUCAGCUCUAGGGUAUUAUACUAUCCUGAGCAGAUAAGCCACUCUAUGCAUCACAUACAAUCGUAGAAAAAAUUCAGUUUAGAUUAGGCAUUUAGCAAGUGGAGGAAGAAUAAAAGAUGGACCAGUCAACGGAUUGCGUCGACAAGUCUUACACAAAUGUUGAUAAUAUGCGUUUGCGAAGGUUGUGGUUACAAGAAAGUAUCAUAUCCACACACACUCUCUUGUAUUGGUUGGUUGUAUAAAUAACAUUUUUAGAUUUUGGAAGAUUUACACGUUGGAGUAAAAAAAAAUUCACAAACUUCGGAGUGACUUUAUACUUUGUGAUGUAAUUUUGUUGGCAAAUAAAGAAUACGCCAAAAAAUAUUUCGCAAUAGUAACCCCAAAGCGACAUUACAUGUUUUGAACGCGUGCCUUUUGAAUGGUUCACGUUUAAGAAAAAUAAGAUUUUGUCAAGUAUAUGUGCAUAUUGACAUUUGAUAGCAAACAUUAUAGAUGUGUAGUUACUUAAUGUAUGCUCAUCAUGAAUAGCAAGGUAAGACCGAAUAAAUGACAAAUAUUUUACUUAAGACACACAAUAAGACACCAUAGCGUAGACCAAUAUAUCUUUACGACCAGAAAAAAGCGAUCUUACUUGCAUCACUAUCAAUCUAUUAGAAAGAAUGGUUAAAAUCAUUAGUUUAACAAACUUUAAAACGAUAAUAUUUUUUAAAGAGAAAAAGAAAAAAAAAAGAGAAAAAGACUAUUGCUCAGAUUCUUUCCACUAAAGAAAAAAAAGAAAAAAAGAAAAGAAAAGAAGUUUAAAAAAGUUGUGAAAGAAUUACUAAAAAUAUAAAAUUGUUUGCAUGUCUAUUGACCUGACCAUUACGAGCACCAUUAAGACCUCGUCCUUUCAAUUUAGUCUGCGCUUGACACGGCACUCUUAUGAUGUAACCACCAGUAAUCCCUUUGGACCAAACACACUGGUCACGUAGAAUCCAUCACGGCCCAAUCAUCAACCUUUUAUAAUUUGCAAGCUCAACGAUUUAAAAUCGACUGUCAUUCACCAAAGGCUGUCACUUUAACACUUCAGCACUCUGUUUUUAUUUCUCUCUCUGCUUUUCCUUAAUCUUUCAUCUCCUUCUCUGUUCUCCAAAGUUAAUACCCUUUUAUUCAACCCUCGAGCGAUCUUUGGACGAACUAACCUCGAAAGACUGAAUCUUUUUCUUGACCCACCAAGAAAAAGUUAGUCUUUGUUUCCCGGAAAAACCGAGAGUUUCAGUUUGUUCCUUUUAGGAUUUACUUAAGUUGAGGGAGUUAUGCUCAAGGUCUUAGCUGAAGUUCUCGCUUCUUAUCAAUCACUUCUUGUUUCUUUUGCUGAUUCAAAGUGGCUCUGCUGGGAAAGUCUUCAGCUUUAUGUUCUAGGGCUUUGAAACUGUUUGUGAUUGUGGAGAAAGAUAAGCUGAGAUCAUAGGGUAAGUCAAUUUUCUUACAGUUAUCUCUGCUUUGGUUUGGUUGGAGAACUUGUCCUAAAAGAACCUUUAUAUAUGUUUAUAAAACUUGCAGAAUUUAGAAACUUUCUUGUUUAGAUGGGAAUUGACACCACUCAACGUAUAGAGGAGAUGUCUUACUCCUUCAAGGUUGGUUCUAAGAAUCUCUUAUGUUGAUUUUUUUAAUUAUUUUUUGCCUUAAAGUUAUGUUAUUUUAAUAACAUGUUUGGUCUUGCUCUACUUCAGAUGCACGCUUCCAUCUGCUUAGCCUUGAAGAACUUAGUUGAUAGAGUUAUGAAAAUCUUUCCUGAAAUAGAAGCUGCUAGACCUGGAUCUACCACAGGGAUACAGACUCUAUGUUUGCUCAACAAAGCUCUGGAGAAAGCUAAGCUGCUUCUUCAGUACUGCAGUGAAUCCAGUAAACUCUACAUGGUUUGUCAACCUCCUCUCACAUUUUAUGUACUUUUUUAUCACUCCAUGUGAUUAAUAUGUUUUGCUUCAAUCUUCAGGCAGUAACAGGGGAUGCUAUACUCUCAAGAGGUUCUAGAUCCAAAAAGUUAUUAGAACAAAGCUUAUCUGAUAUCAGAACCAUGGUACCUACUGCUUUGUCUAUCAAGGUUUGUAACCAAACUCUGUUUUAACUUUUUGUUAAAUUCGGGUUUAUCAUGAGCUUCCAACUUAAAACUAAUUGGUAAUAAGUGGAUUGGUCCUAACCGUUUAUGUAUUAUUCAUAUCCCAGCUAAACUUCGAUGUAGGAGCUUGCAGUCUCAAUUACUUUUCUUGUUUUGUGGAAAAUGCUGAAUCAAUUGUUGCUUGCAGAUACUUGAGGUACUCCAAGAUCUUAAGUCAACAGAGUUGUCUCUAGAAUCAUCUGAAGAAGAAGCUGGGAAAGCUAUCAGGGAACUGAUGAGACGGAGCACAUCUUCUUCUGUGUCUUCUGAUGAGAUAAGAGAUUUUCAUUUUGCAGCACUAAAGCUCCAGCUUUCAACACCUGAAGCCGUUGUGGUAGAGAGAAGAUCAUUAAAGUCGCUUUAUGGGAAGCUAGGAGAGUGUGAAGGGAACAAGAGACAGAUUCUGAAGUAUCUCCUCUGCCUCCUGAAGAAGCAUGAGAAAAUCAUUUGGAGUGAUCACAAAGAGAUCUCUCUCAGACAGCAACACUCUGUGGAUGAUUCUGUGUCUGCUAGUGUUGCAGAAGCCGGGUGUUCUGAGGAACACAACAGUGAUACACUUCCUGAACAGUUCAAGUGUCCUCUCUCUCUUACUGUCAUGUAUGAUCCUGUCAUCAUCUCCUCAGGCCACACGUUUGAGAGGAUGUCGAUUCAGAGAUGGUUUGAUUUAGGUAAUGACACAUGUCCUAUAUCAAAAAGGGUACUAGAUGAUUUCACAUUGCAGUCCAAUGUAGCGAUGAAGGAUCAGAUAUCAAAAUGGUGCAAGAAGCACGGUCUUGAUGUUCAAGAUCCAGCAAUGAAGCACACAGAGAACGCUUCACAGAAUCUUGACUUCUCCAUUGCUAGUUUUACAAGUUCUCUGUACAAUAUACCAGACCUCAGCUGCUUCACGAGUAGGGACUUCAGCUCUAGCUUCUCCACUGAUUCGCCAUCAUACUCUAGGAUGUCCAGGGGUGGCUACUUCAUGCCAAUGCAGACGAUAGCUUCUGAGUCAGGAACUGAAGUCACAGAUUCUACUCAUCACAGUGAGGUGGAGAUAGAGCCUUUGUGUGAACUCAGUAAGCUUCCAUGGGAUGCUCAGGUCAAGGAUGUUCAAGAUGUGAGAAGUCUUUUUGAGAAAGAUUCUAGGGCUGUUCGGUCUGUGUCACCUAGUAAGUUUCUUGAGCCGCUUAUCACAUUCUUGAAGAACGCUCAUGAGAGAAAUGGCACUGAGGGAGACGUAGUAAAGUGUGGUUUGGAUUUGUUAUUGACUUUCCUCAGUGGAAACAGGAAGGCUAUAGAGAGCUUGAAAGAAGACUUGUUUGAAAUGUUGUGUGUCUUUCUUGGGUCAGAGUUAGUAGCUGAAGAAGCUCUAAACGUACUUGAGGUUCUCUCUAAUCAUCCACAGAGUCUCUCAAAGAUAACUUCAACAAGCUCUCUCUCUUCCCUUUUGAAGAUAGCUGAGUCUGGAGCACAACAUCUUCAAGAACAAGCUAUGAUCACACUCAAGAACCUCUCUGCAACCAAUGAGAUUUGUGCGGAAAUGGUCUCUCUCGGUUUUGUCCAUAAGCUCACAUCUUUCUUGCAACAAAACGUUUUCAGCAAACAUUCAAUCAUCAUGCUGAAGAAUCUCUGCAACACUGAGAAAGGUAGGGUUUGUGUAACUGAGACCCCUGGUUGUUUAGCUUCAAUAGCUGAUUUACUGGACUCAAAUGUUUCUGAGGAGCUAGAGAAUGCGAUCUCCAUCCUCCUCCAGCUCUGCGUGGAGAAGAUAGACUAUUGUUAUCUUUUGGUGAGAGAAGGCCUUAAUAUUUACUCAUCUCUUCUCUUGAUAUCCAACAAUGGAACCGAGGAAGCUAAGGUGGGUGCAUCUGAGUUGCUUAGAGCUCUUGAAGAAGUAGUAGAAGAAGAAGAAGAAUCCUCCACACCACAAGAAGAAGCAACUACUUCACAGGUUGUUGUUGCUCCAGUUACGUAUCAGGAACCUGUAGUAACAGCACCAUCUCCAAAGAAGUCUGGUCUUUUUGGGCUCAGAUUCAUUCUCAAGAAGAAGAAGAUAAAAUCAUAAGUUUUGUUAACUUACUUUUUUAAGAAGCUAUCAUUUUUUUUGUGUGGUUCUCUCUUUGUUGACUUAGGGUUUGUAUAUGUUGAUACCUGUCUAAAGAGCUUCCAUUAAUGUUAAGUGUAGUUGUAGUUUGAUAGGGGGAAUGUAUUGUGAGGAGAAUAGUUUGUAAUUUGUAAAUCAUUAAAUAAUAAAAGUUGGGUGAGAAAUAAAUUUAUUUUUGAGAUAUUUUAUAUACUACAAAAAAAAAUUAUAUACUACAAUGUACAACAAGGAAUUGUUGUGACCACAAGAGUUUUUUUUCUUUCUUCAACACAUACAUAUCCCCUAGAAUAAAUUUCCUUAUACAGUAGAUGGAAAGAUCUUUGGAUUGGUUUCCUCUGUCUUUCUGGUUCAGAUUUCAGAUAACAUAGAGAAAAUGAUAAGACAAAAAAAAUUGCCAUUUUUUCAGUGAGCCUUAUCCCUAAUUUGUUACUCGAGGCUGAAGAAACUUGAAACUGAAUCGGUUCUCAAGUUGUUGUAAAGAGAUUGUGAGUGAAUUUCCCAGCCUGAAGAUGUUUGAUCUUUCUGCAGGAAAGAAAACAAAUGGAAAUAGGUUGCUUCAGGGACAAGAAAACAAGAAUUAAGUAAUACAUAAAGAUUUGCCUGAGGGAAAAGAUUAUUACAGAGCCGAGAGUUGUGGUUUGGAUUGAGUUUAUGACAGAGUAAUCUAGAGAUU
RNAcentral lists this long non-coding RNA (6854 nucleotides) under Brassica napus (rape). RNAcentral's name for it is "long non-coding RNA (BNAP_LNC014378)". The record is from RNAcentral. Lineage: Eukaryota; Viridiplantae; Streptophyta; Magnoliopsida; Brassicales; Brassicaceae.